GUUCCCUGCCACCACCGUCCCCCCCACCCCCCGCGGCCUCUGGGUACCCACUGGCCGCGCCCUCGCAGGAGCCUCCGGCCCACUUCCUGCCCCCGCCCCUCCGGGCCUGGCAGCACUUCCUUUGCAAAACUGGGCAGCCCCAGGCCCGGGCAGGAAGUGACCUCCCGGCCCGCCCUCUCCUGAUUCCCGCGGUGGCCACUAGAGGCCUCUCUGUCCUCGCAGACGCCCGGGCUCCCUAGAGCCGGCCCGCCCCGCCUGCCGUGGGGCACACGCCCCCGGCCCCCUCCCCCGCCUCGGGGGCUGGAGAGAUGAGGGCCAGCAUCGUUCACCCCUCUGCCGGGGGUGGGCAGCCUUUGCUCUCCCAACACACACUGGGGCGAAGGAAGACCUGCCCUUCCCAAAGGUUGGUCCCUGUCCCCCCAGCUCCACCUUCCUUCUUCCUCCCACACUCUCAUCCCCUUACCUUGUGAAUCCAGCCUCAAGCCUGCCUCAUGGUGCCCCAGGUGCUGAGCUGCCCCCCAAGUCUCCGAGGGAGCUUGUAGUGUAUAUGAUACUCCCCCCGCCCCCGCCCCAACUUUUCCCUGGUAGCAGAGCGCCGGGGAACCGCCGAUUGGGAAGAGAGACCCGCGGUGCCCACACUCAGCUCCGUCAGCCCCAGUCUGAGGUGGAGCCCAGCCUUCUCAGGGUAGUCACUGUUUACUUGUGUCACACACACACACACACAGCAGAAGGAGUGUAUUAGAAGCACCUCAUGCAACCUUGCCGGCGGGAGUGUAAACUGGUACAACCUCUUUGAAGAGUGAUUUGACAAUAUCUAUCAAAAAUAUUUUUAAAAUGCAGACACCUUUUGUCUAGCAAUUCCACUUUUAGGGAUUUACGCUGUAGAUAAAAUGUAUAUACAUAUAACCUCGUAUGUGGGUGGGUGUUAAUUGCCUCCUUCUUUGUAAUCGCAAAACACUUGAAAUAACCUAAGUGUCCACCAAGAAGGGACUGGUUAAAUAGAUGCUGCUAUGUCUAUAGCAAAGAAUGCCAUGCAGUCAUGAAAAGUGAUGAGGUGGAACAUAGACCAGUAAAUGAAACAAAGCAAGAUUCAUAACUAGAGUGAUGGCGUAUUCCCUCUAGGGGGAAUAUAAAGUAGACACAGAUAUAAGUGUAUACUUUUCAUUUUUUUGCUGAGGAAGAUUCACCCUGAGCUCGCCUCCAUGCCAAUCUUCCUUUACUUUGCACGUGGGUUGCUGCCACAGCAUGACCAACAAGUAAUGUAGGAUCUGAACCCACGAACCCAGGCUGCCAAAGCAGAGCACACUGAACCCAAGCACUACACAGGGCGGGCCCCUACAUAUAUACUUCUGUAUAGUUCAGUAGGGUCCACAAGAAGUGGGGAUCAUGGCUAAUCACAGGGAGCGGGGCUGGGGGACUGGAUAGGAGUCGUCUAAGAUGGGAGGG
This 1446-nucleotide long non-coding RNA is filed under the name Equus caballus (horse). Its description in RNAcentral is "lncRNA (ENSECAG00000050808.1)". Lineage: Eukaryota; Metazoa; Chordata; Mammalia; Perissodactyla; Equidae. The record is from RNAcentral.